RNAcentral lists this ribosomal RNA (376 nucleotides) under uncultured organism. RNAcentral's name for it is "partial 16S ribosomal RNA". It matches the Rfam family "Bacterial small subunit ribosomal RNA", at positions 527 to 896 of the family's 1533-position model. The record is from RNAcentral.
GAACCGUCCAAACGUUUAUUUCGGAAUCACUGGGCUUAAAGGGUGCGUAGGCUGUUAGAUAAGUAGGAUGUGAAAUCCCACGGCUCAACCGUGGAACUGCGUUCUAUACUGUUUAACUAGAGGAAGGUAGAGGUGAGCGGAACUGAUGGUGGAGCGGUGAAAUGCGUUGAUAUCAUCAGGAACACCAGUUGCGAAAGCGGCUCGCUGGGCCUUUUCUGACGCUGAGGCACGAAAGCUAGGGGAGCGAACGGGGAUUAGAUACCCCGGUAGUCCUAGCUGUAAACGAUCAGUACUUAUUCGGGACUCCCUCCCAUAGGUUCCCCGGAUGUAGCGAAAGUGUUAAGUACUGCGCCUGGGGAGUAUGGUCGCAAGGCUG